UGAAGUUGUCAGGAGACAGGGCCUCAGCAGGU
Molecule: non-coding RNA, 32 nt
Filed under: Rattus norvegicus (Norway rat)
Lineage: Eukaryota; Metazoa; Chordata; Mammalia; Rodentia; Muridae
Source: RNAcentral